Molecule: ribosomal RNA, 842 nt
Filed under: Gammaproteobacteria bacterium
Lineage: Bacteria; Pseudomonadati; Pseudomonadota; Gammaproteobacteria
Description: partial 23S ribosomal RNA
Rfam family: Bacterial large subunit ribosomal RNA
Source: RNAcentral
UCAAGCGUUAAAAAGGGCAUUUGGUGAAUGCCUUGGCAAUCAGAGGCGAUGAAGGACGUGGCAGGCUGCGAUAAGCCGCGGGAAGGUGUCAACAACCGUUGAUCCGCGGAUGUCCGAAUGGGGAAACCCACCUCUUUAUGAGGUAUCCCGUACUGAAUACAUAGGUACGUGGAAGCAAACCCGGAGAAUUGAAACAUCUCAGUAUCCGGAGGAAAGGAAAUCAACCGAGACUCCCCUAGUAGUGGCGAGCGAAAGGGGACUAGCCCAGUGGCGUUUGUGUAAUAACCGGAAGCAUCUGGAAAGUUGCUCCAAAGUGGGUGAUAGGCCCGUACGGGUAAAAAGCACAGACGUCCUCGAGUAAGGCGGGACACGAGUAAUCCUGUCUGAACAUGGGGGGACCAUCCUCCAAGGCUAAGUACUACUGAUUGACCGAUAGUGAACAAGUACCGUGAGGGAAAGGUGAAAAGAACCCCGAUGAGGGGAGUGAAACAGACCUGAAACCGAAUGCCUACAAACAGUUGGAGCGGCUAUAUGCCGUGACAGCGUACCUUUUGUAUUAUGGGUCCGCGAGUUAGUGUUGCAUGCGAGCUUAAGGCGAUAGCUGAAGGCGUAGCGAAAGCGAGUCUGAAUAGGGCGCUUAGUAUGCAGUAUUAGACCCGAAACCCGGUGAUCUAGUCAUGGUCAGGUUGAAGGUAGGGUAACACCUACUGGAGGACCGAACCCACUACCGUUGAAAAGGUAGGGGAUGAACUGUGAUUAGGGGUGAAAGGCCAAUCAAACCGGGUAAUAGCUGGUUCUCCGCGAAAUCUAUUUAGGUAGAGCGUCAUGUAUUACCGUCGGGG